GGAUGUUUCCGAAAAUUCUUUCACAAACGUGACAAUACCUAAAGAUGCCUUUUCUCCAAGAAAGAACUUUUUUGCUUGCUGUUCUAAAGUAAACACUGAGGGUAUGAAUUGGCUUGAAACUAAUUAUUCUUGUGGCAAUAACUCAAAGAGAUAUGAACAUUUGUACAUCAACUGUGGAGGAAAUGCAGCAACAAUAAAUGGAAGCAACUAUGAAGCUGAUCUUGAUCCAAAUGGAGAAUCAAGGUUCUAUCUGAGCAGUAAUGGAGCCUGGGGAUUCAGUAGUAUGGGAAUCGUUGAACUUGUAAAAAACCAGA
Molecule: long non-coding RNA, 314 nt
Organism: Coffea eugenioides
Lineage: Eukaryota; Viridiplantae; Streptophyta; Magnoliopsida; Gentianales; Rubiaceae
Exons: 4
Source: RefSeq, a predicted model, not a curated record